CCUACGGGCUGCAGCAGUGAGGAAUAUUGGUCAAUGGCCGUAAGGCUGAACCAGCCAAGUCGCGUGAAGGAAGAAGGAUCUAUGGUUUGUAAACUUCUUUUAUAGGGGAAUAAAGGUAUCCACGUGUGGAUAUUUGCAUGUACCCUAUGAAUAAACAUCGGCUAACUCCGUGCCAGUAGCCGCGGUAAUACGGAGGAUGCGAGCGUUAUCCGGAUUUAUUGGGUUUAAAGGGUGCGUAGGUUGUUUUUUAAGUCAGCGGUGAAAGUUUGUGGCUCAACCAUAAAAUUGCCGUUGAAACUGGAAGACGUGAGUGUGUUUGAGGUAGGCGGAAUGCGUGGUGUAGCGGUGAAAUGCAUAGAUAUCACGCAGAACUCCGAUUGCGAAGGCAGCUUACUAAGCCAUAACUGACACUGAAGCACGAAAGCGUGGGGAUCAAACAGGAUUAGAUACCCCAGUAGUC
This 460-nucleotide ribosomal RNA is filed under the name uncultured bacterium. RNAcentral describes it as "partial 16S ribosomal RNA". It matches the Rfam family "Bacterial small subunit ribosomal RNA", at positions 338 to 795 of the family's 1533-position model. The record is from RNAcentral.